AUUGAACGCUGGCGGCAGGCCUAACACAUGCAAGUCGAACGGUGACAGGAAACAGCUUGCUGUUUCGCUGACGAGUGGCGGACGGGUGAGUAAUGUCUGGGAAACUGCCUGAUGGAGGGGGAUAACUACUGGAAACGGUAGCUAAUACCGCAUAACGUCGCAAGACCAAAGAGGGGGACCUUCGGGCCUCUUGCCAUCGGAUGUGCCCAGAUGGGAUUAGCUAGUAGGUGGGGUAACGGCUCACCUAGGCGACGAUCCCUAGCUGGUCUGAGAGGAUGACCAGCCACACUGGAACUGAGACACGGUCCAGACUCCUACGGGAGGCAGCAGUGGGGAAUAUUGCACAAUGGGCGCAAGCCUGAUGCAGCCAUGCCGCGUGUAUGAAGAAGGCCUUCGGGUUGUAAAGUACUUUCAGCGGGGAUGAAGGGAGUAAAGUUAAUACCUUUGCUCAUUGACGUUACCCGCAGAAGAAGCACCGGCUAACUCCGUG
This 490-nucleotide ribosomal RNA is filed under the name uncultured bacterium. RNAcentral's name for it is "partial 16S ribosomal RNA". It matches the Rfam family "Bacterial small subunit ribosomal RNA", at positions 30 to 507 of the family's 1533-position model. The record is from RNAcentral.